Non-coding RNA from Zootermopsis nevadensis, 956 nucleotides. The record is from RefSeq and is a predicted model, not a curated record. Lineage: Eukaryota; Metazoa; Arthropoda; Insecta; Blattodea; Termopsidae.
AACCACGUUUCGCAAGUUUUAUCGGAACAAGUUUUCUGGUUUUAUUACAUAAUUGACAGACACACUUGUUCAACCGCUUAUAUAAAUUAAAUGUCACGUCAUAGUACGUACAUCAUAGGAAGCACAGGUCCCUGCUGCUUGCUGUCUCCCAUCAUCAGGGUGAUGGACUAUACAGUACUACAGCCCAGAAGACAGCAAUCUUCAUACUCACCACCAUGAGAACUUCAAAUCAUAAUCUCCAAGUCCAUGCAGAGAUGAAUAACAUCCAUGAUUCAAGCUCAGAAAUUCUGGACAUCUUACUAAAGUGUCAGGUCUUGAAACCAGUUCUUAAACAGAUUUUUUCAUCUCAUUUGGCAUGCAGAAAUCAGAAAGAAAAGUGAAUCCACAGGGAAUGGAAACCAUGUCUUUCAAAGGGUCAACCACCUUCUAUACAACUAAAGCUUUUUAUUUAACAAAGUCUGAAGAAAAAGGAACAAAUUAUCUGAGAACCUAUGAUGAAUUUUACUAAAACAAAAGUACUUACAACUGUGAGCAGACCUGAGACAAGGGAUGAUACAAGAUCCUUGCCAGCACGAGCACAGACAAUAGUAUUAUGUGCACCUGACACAGCUGGUCCAUGGUCAGCCGUUACCAUGAGACACAUUUCAAAGAAUUUACAGACAUACGGUGGAAGACAGCGCUGGAACCACAGGAGUGACACUACACCUCCAAUUCCAACAUCACGCUUCAAGACCUGAAACCAAUAAGCCAGAAACACUAUUUAUUUGCCAAAUUACAUAUUAAUCAUGUUUUCAUAUCCAAUAUUUUAUUGAAUUUAUAACACAACCAUUACUAUUCACUCCAGAACACCGAGACAAUGAAAUAAAUAUGAAACUUUGCGUAACUACCAAUUAACAAACUAAAGAACUGUAUGGCAAUAAAACCUGCAGAUUCAACACUGCUACUAUCAAAACCCA